CCUUUCUUUAACGUUUGGCUUAAUGAAAGUGGCUACUAUGCUGAUAAACUCAACUGUUCGCUCUGAGGGGUUUGUUUCUGUUUGCAUAAGUGGUUAAGGAAAAAGGAAAAUCCUUCCAAAGUUAAAAUGGAAAGCCAUUUGCUUUAACAAAAAAAACCCCACAGCGCUGAAAAAUGACAUAUUUUGUGGAGUUCCAGAAAAUGUGCCUUAGUCUGAAGGUGGUUUUCAGAGAUAAGUUCUUGGGGCAGAAAGCAGCAAUCACUUUUUGAAAAAAAGCCUUUAGAAAUCUUUCUGCUUCUCAGUUCAUAUGCGGAGAUGUUUCUGAAUAUGUAGCAGGAGAGAAAAAAUGCAGGGAAGACCAAAGGGAUUCUUUCUAACUUGAACUGAUAAAGUCCUGAAAGAAUCCCAUCACCUGCAAAGGCAUAAAGAAGAUUUAAGCUACAAGGAGAAAACAAUUGCUCUGCCCAGCAUUUUCAGCCUGGAAAGUGAGCAUAGGUGUACCUUCAAAAAUUUUCGUUUGCUUCGUUAUCAUCAUCCCUAAAAUUCUAAUUUUCAGUUUUGUGACUUCGUUUUGUUUUAGUCAAAAUGACCGUGUUUAGUCACCAUGCAAGUACUUUUCCAUGCACAUUUGAAUGCAGGAUGCACAGUGUGAGAGCUGAUGAUCAAACUGUUUUGCAGAUCCGUACAUAGGCUCUCUUGAGUAUUCUGUGUUUUCUUCUUUCCAGUGACUGUCCCAUUUUAUGGAGGCAGAAUUUUACCCUUGAAAACUGAUGAACAUCUCUGUCCUAUUUAUUGCUUAACGCUUUUUGUGCUUUUGCAGUGUAAGUGCGUGCUUUAUUUUGGGCUCUUGUCAAAUAGUUAAAAAAUAAAUUCCCUUUAUUGUAUUUUACAAUGGGAGUGGGUAGGAGCAGCCACGUGGAAAUACUUCUGUCAUCCUACAGCAAGCCAUAAUGAAAUGUAAGCAGUUUUGCUGGGCUUAUUCUCAUUUAACAUCUAUUUUAUUUUCUGCUUGAGAAAAGACUAGUAUUCAAAACUGCCAUGUUAGUUCAGAGCUGGAUAUGGAAGAGCACAGAUUACUGGUAGCUGGUGCAAGGCCCGUGUGACAGCUGACUUUAUUUUUAGAAUAGGCUAGCAAAAUCCAUUCCCGGGUUGCUGCUCGUAAGGAUGCUAUGCUUCAAGCAUCUACAAUGUAGGUUACAUUCCUACAUUAUUAAUAUUGUAACUGGAAUGAAAAUCUGACAGGUAUAAUAUGGAGGGGGGAAAAAAACAAACAAACCCAAAACACCUCUAUUUGCAGCUACUUCACUACUCCAAACAAAUAAUGCUUUGUUUUAAAAUUUAAAUAUACAGAUGUAGUUCAAGGCAUUGUUUCCACCCAGGUGGAUGAAAGUAAUGUCUGUUUCAUCAGCAGUUCUUAGUGCAGGGUAUGAUAUACACCACUCACGGGACUGAACUUUUAAUAAAAUACUUCACAACUUCCCAUUGUAAAUCUUUACUAUCGCUGGGAGAUUAGUCACUAGCACAUGUCUCAUAUACCUGUUGCUCCUAUCAGAUACUUGCAGUAAAACUCAUUUCAGAGUUUCCAAAAUAAGCAACUUCUGAUGGUCAGUAGCUUCUCAGGUAUUCAAGAUGCAUCAUAAUAUUUCAGACGUCUCGUAUGUGAUAGUGCUAUAGAAAUGUGUUUUCAUGAGCUGAUUGGAAAAUUGAGUUUUCUAUUGGAACCAAAUUAACCCUUUCAUUGAUAUGCAAUGCCAAAACAUUUGUAUAAAAUUGUAGAAGAUGUUAAAUUUUAAUUUUAGAAUUCAGGUUGGGAUUGAGUAAGCUUACAGUGUUAUCAUUUGUAUUUUUCAUUAGGUGUGUGUAUUCUCUGUAGUUAAUGGCGAAGGUAGAAAUUGGUGGUUUUGCUGGUACAGCUUUUGAUGUGCAUUUCGCAGCACUCAGGAGAAUGUUAUUUUAAGCGCUUGCAUGUUGGAUGUUUCCCAGAGGCAGCACUGAGCUGCAUGUUGGUUUCCUUCUAUGAAAAGCAGGGAGUGAUAUAACUAGAAUUAAAUGCUUCCAGGUAGGUUUUUUCCCACGCCCCACUCAAGGGGCCCAACCUGCAGCUCAGUUCUCUAGAAUGAAGCGGGAGGUGCUGAGAGGUGCAUCAACAGUUGAUAUUUCUUUCUACGGGCUUCUCUCCCAGCUCAUUCUAUCCUGCCCUGUUGGACUGGCAGUCCAUUUGCAGUGGAAAGCCUUCGUUUUGACUUAGUGUCUUCCAGAAGGAGCUCAACUCUUGUAUUCCUACAUCAGUCUCCAGUGUAGGUCAGUGCACAGCUACUGAGGUCAUUUGGGCAGGAAUCAUCUCAGAGACACCAUCCUGUCCUGAUCUGAAGUGGCAGUGUGGGAGCGAGUGCUCCUUGCAGUCUUCAGGCCUUGGACCAGGCCUCCAAAUGCAGUGUGAGAGGGCAGUAGGGUUGGGGAUACUGACUCUGAAGCCCUGCAGUUUCUCUUGCAGGUUUAGUCUCUCAGGCCUUUGCACCAUACUCUGCCGUUCUGAUUUGCAUCUGUCCCCCAAAACAACUACUCGCUGUUAUUUGUUUUUAUUGUUGUUUUUAUGAGAGAAAUGUGCAUACUGAGUAAUUUAAUGGAGCCUGACUGAGGUCACCUGCUCACCAUGUUCAGUUCCUUCUGCACCUGCGUUCUGUCCAGGUGUCCUUGCUUCCACUGUCUGUUCACUUCCUUCUUACCCCUCAGUCUGACCAGCAGCUCCUUGCUCAGCUGUGCUGCUUUCCUGCCUCCUCUGUUUGAUUCCUUAUGCUGGGGAUGGAGAGCUCUUGUGCUCUCAGAAAAGUAUCCAUAAAGCGCUGCCAGUUCUCUUGUCCCUAAGGACAGAUUCCCAGGGUCUCUCAUGCACUAAUUCUUUAAGCAACAUGAAGUUGUCUCUCCUGAAUUACUGACUCCACUCUUUGCCCGGUCCAUCUUCCUUGGGAACAUAAACUCAGCCAGGGCAUGGUUGUUGCAGCCUGGGCUGCCUCUGAUCUUAACCUCUUUAAUAUUCUCCUCAAAUAAUCCUAUAUUUUCCAACAGCUAAAUAGUAUAUGAAUUUGGGGCCAAGUCUCUUACUAUAUGUAUUAGCCAGUCUUGCUUAUUUCAGACUAGGAAGAUUAAUUACCUGUAUUGCACAGAAUGUUUUUAAGAUGUUGUCUGAUAAUAAAGUUAGCAUGGAAUAGCAUGAUUCCCUUACUUUCCCUCAAUGAAACAAGCCAUGGGGAGGAGCUGAGGAGCAGUGCUAGUGGUGAGCUGGAGAAGUCACACUCCAGGUGGUCAGUCAGUCAUGUGUAUGAUGUCUUCCACCAUAUAAGAUAUCUUCUGUGGGUUUCUUUGUCAGGAUUUCACUUUUUUGGAAUAUUGGGUAGUUGCUGAAAUAUUACUUGCUCUUUUGAAUGGUUUAUAACUUUACUUGCAGCCAAAUGAAUAAUUAUUGCAUCUGUCAUACAAAUUUCCAGCAAUAUCUAUCCAUUCAUUAAGGUACAGGUUAGGAUGUUACCUGUACAUUAAGGAUGUACAGGUACAUAAAAGCCUGCAGGCUCUCUUCAUCCUUUCUGUGGUUCUUCUCUGUCUAAAUCCCAGCUUCAAUAUGUAACAUCUUGGAUGACAUCCAUCUCCUUUUUGAUGUG
Molecule: long non-coding RNA, 3656 nt
Filed under: Gallus gallus (chicken)
Lineage: Eukaryota; Metazoa; Chordata; Aves; Galliformes; Phasianidae
Source: RNAcentral